GUCAAACAUGCUAAAAUCAUAAUCUAGUUCGAUUUUAAAAGCUGGUUUUUAAUUAAGUUUAAAAUUGUAAUUUUAUAAAAAUCAUAAAAAUUUCAUAUGUUUUCUAAUAACCAUUUAAAUAAAUUGAUUUUGUCAUAUUUUAUAGAGAAAUUACCUAUAAUAACUCAUAUUUUUUGUGUAAUGACUAGAUUAACACACAAAAAGAGAAAAG
RNAcentral lists this long non-coding RNA (211 nucleotides) under Brassica rapa (field mustard). RNAcentral describes it as "long non-coding RNA (BRAP_LNC007670)". Lineage: Eukaryota; Viridiplantae; Streptophyta; Magnoliopsida; Brassicales; Brassicaceae. The record is from RNAcentral.